Non-coding RNA from Sciurus carolinensis (gray squirrel), 361 nucleotides. Lineage: Eukaryota; Metazoa; Chordata; Mammalia; Rodentia; Sciuridae. The record is from the annotation of a RefSeq genome assembly.
GCUCACACAGGGUGAGCUCUCUGGGAAGGCAGGUGUGGUCUAGAAGAUGAGGCUGCUGGGUCUUCUCCUGUUCCUGGUCACAGCUCUCCAAGGUGUCCUGUGCCAGGUGCAGCUGCAGGAGUCAGGACCUGGCCUGGUGAAGCCCUCAGAGACACUGUCCCUCACCUGUGCUGGGUCUGGAUUCUCCAUCACAACCAGCUAUUACUACUGGCAGUUGAUUCAUCAGUCCCCAGGGAAGGGGCUGGAGUGGACGGGGCUCAUAUGUUAUGGUGGUAGCACUUACUACAGCCCAUCCCUCAAGAACCGAGUGUCCAUCUCCAGAGACACGUCCAAGAACAAGUUCUCCCUGCAGCUGAGUUGA